CUUGUACUCCCUCCUUCCGAAAAUACUUGCCAUCAAAAUGGAUAAAAAGAGAUGUAUCUAGAACUAAUAUAUGUCUAGAUACAUCCCCUUUUGUUCAUGUAUUUCCGGACGGAGGGAGUACAAG
Triticum aestivum (bread wheat) is the source of this 124-nucleotide non-coding RNA. The record is from Rfam. NCBI's taxonomy places the organism in Eukaryota, Viridiplantae, Streptophyta, Magnoliopsida, Poales, Poaceae.